RNAcentral lists this ribosomal RNA (1344 nucleotides) under metagenome. RNAcentral's name for it is "SSU rRNA". It matches the Rfam family "Eukaryotic small subunit ribosomal RNA", at positions 3 to 1348 of the family's 1831-position model. The record is from RNAcentral.
CCUGGUUGAUCCUGCCAGUAGUCAUAUGCUUGUCUCAAAGAUUAAGCCAUGCAUGUAUAAGUUCACAGCUUUAAACGCUGAAACCGCGAAUGGCUCAUUAAAUCAGCUAUGGUUCCUUAGAUCUUACAUCCAUACUUGGAUAACUGUAGUAAUUCUAGAGCUAAUACAUGCCACUUAAGCCCCUUCUUCGGAAGGGGUGGAUUUAUUAGAAUAAAAACCAACCGGUUUCGGCCGUCGGUUUGAUGACUCUGGAUAACUUUUCUGAUGGCAAGGCCUUGUGCCUGCCACGUAUCUUUCAAAUGUCUGCCCUAUCAACUUUCGAUGGUAGGAUAUUUGCCUACCAUGGUUAUAACGGGUAACGGGGAAUCAGGGUUCGAUUCCGGAGAGGGAGCCUUAGAAACGGCUACCACAUCUAAGGAAGGCAGCAGGCGCGCAAAUUACCCACUCUCAGCAAGAGGAGGUAGUGACGAAAAAUAACGAUGCAGGACUCUAAACGAGGCCCUGUAAUUGGAAUGAGAACAAUUUAAAUCCUUUAUCGAAUACAAAUGGAGGGCAAGUCUGGUGCCAGCAGCCGCGGUAACUCCAGCUCCAUUAGCAUAUAUUAAAGUUGUUGCAGUUAAAAAGCUCGUAGUUGGAUCUCAGGCAAGGGACUAGUGGUCCACCUCUGGUGUGACUGCAAGUUACCGCCUCAUUAGCUGUAUGUGGUCGUGUGUGCUCUUUACUGGGUGUGCAUGAUACUCAGCACGUUUACUUUGAAAAAAUCAGAGUGCUCAAAGCAAGCCUUGUGCUUGAAUAGUGUUGCAUGGAAUAAUAAAAUAGGACUUCGUUUCUAUUUUGUUGGUUUUCGGUCACGAAGUAAUGAUUAAAAGAGACAAAUGGGGGCAUCUGUAUGGUGGCGUUAGAGGUGAAAUUCGAUGACCGCCGCCAGACAAUCUACUGCGAAAGCAUUUGCCAAAGAUGUUUUCAUUAAUCAAGAACGAAAGUCAGAGGUUCGAAGACGAUCAGAUACCGUCCUAGUUCUGACCAUAAACGAUGCCGAUUGACAAUCAGGGUUUUUUUAUCUUUUUUGAACCCUGGCAGUCCCUGGGAAACCUUUAAAUUCACAGGUUCUGGGGGAAGUAUGGUUGCAAGGCUGAAACUUAAAGGAAUUGACGGAAGGGCACCACCAGGAGUGGAGCCUGUGGCUUAAUUUGACCCAACACGGGAAAACUCACCCGGCCCGAACACUGUGAGGAUUGACUGAUUGAUAGCUCUUUCUUGAUUCAGUGGGUGGUGGUGCAUGGCCGUUCUUAGUUGGUGGAGUGAUUUGUCUGGUUAAUUCCGAUAACGAACGAGACUCUAGCC